GCCCUGUGGUUACUGGAGCCUGUGAUCUCUGUACAGAGCUGCAGUUUUAAUAAAAGGGCAGAUAUUAAUGCUGUGAUAUUUUGCAUGGUGGUUGAGUUUUCACAUCUGCCCCCAUAGCCCGGUCACAGUAACAGAU
Small nucleolar RNA from Bombina bombina (fire-bellied toad), 136 nucleotides. RefSeq annotates it as small nucleolar RNA SNORA84. The record is from RefSeq and is a predicted model, not a curated record. The transcript has a single exon. NCBI's taxonomy places the organism in Eukaryota, Metazoa, Chordata, Amphibia, Anura, Bombinatoridae.